AUUGGAGGAAAUGCACCAGCCUUGGGAAUUGGUCCCACAAUGGGAUUGUUUGUGGGAGGUGGAGGGCGAGCCCCAUUAGCAGUUGUCGGCGUGCAAGAAUGAUCUGUGAAGAGUGUUUUAAUAUCAGGAUUUGGGCGAGGAUUUUUGCAAAGCUGAUGCUGCCAAUUUAGACUCUGGUUUAUUAAAGUCCUUAGGCGCGAGCUUUUGAAGGAUGGAAAUGUAAGCUUGUCACGAAAUAAUGGGUUUGCUUCAAUAAGCUUUUUAAGUUCCACAAGCAUGAUGUUUCGAGCUGAUUUUGUGUCUCCAUAUUUGGAAAGUUGCUCAUUUUGCCUAAAAUUAUCAAGAGUAAGCAACUGAGUUAUCUCCUUGAAGAGUUCUUCAUUGAAUGAUGCAAAAACCUUAAGGUCCUUGACAAGAAUCUCAACAGCUUUUGCUCGAUCCUGUCUGUCAAGAGCUUCUAGAUAUUUUUGCUUCCUAAUUUCAAAGAAAAUCUUCAUGGAGUAGCGAUUGUCUUCAACCUUUGUAAACCCACACAAAUAACGCUCAACCUCAUC
This 554-nucleotide unclassified non-coding RNA is filed under the name Hevea brasiliensis (rubber tree). The record is from RNAcentral. Lineage: Eukaryota; Viridiplantae; Streptophyta; Magnoliopsida; Malpighiales; Euphorbiaceae.